Molecule: ribosomal RNA, 383 nt
Filed under: uncultured soil bacterium
Lineage: Bacteria
Description: bacterial SSU rRNA
Rfam family: Bacterial small subunit ribosomal RNA
Source: RNAcentral
AGAUUGAACGCUGGCGGCAGGCCUAACACAUGCAAGUCGAGCGGCAGCACGGGUACUUGUACCUGGUGGCGAGCGGCGGACGGGUGAGUAAUGCCUAGGAAUCUGCCUGAUAGUGGGGGAUAACGCUCGGAUACGGACGCUAAUACCGCAUACGUCCUACGGGAGAAAGCAGGGGACCUUCGGGCCUUGCGCUAUCAGAUGAGCCUAGGUCGGAUUAGCUAGUUGUGGGGUAAUGGCUCACCAAGGCGACGAUCCGUAACUGGUCUGAGAGGAUGAUCAGUCACACUGGAACUGAGCACGGUCCAGACUCCUACGGAGGCAGCAGUGGGGAAUAUUGGACAAUGGGCGAAAGCCUGACUCAGACCAUGCCGCGUGUGUAGAAG